RNAcentral lists this RNase P RNA (357 nucleotides) under Candidatus Amarobacter glycogenicus. RNAcentral's name for it is "RNase P RNA component class A". It matches the Rfam family "Bacterial RNase P class A". From Rfam's summary of the family: Ribonuclease P (RNase P) is a ubiquitous endoribonuclease, found in archaea, bacteria and eukarya as well as chloroplasts and mitochondria. Its best characterised activity is the generation of mature 5'-ends of tRNAs by cleaving the 5'-leader elements of precursor-tRNAs. Lineage: Bacteria; Bacillati; Chloroflexota; Tepidiformia; Tepidiformales; Tepidiformaceae. The record is from RNAcentral.
UCAGUGGGCCGGGUGACCGCUGGGGAGCUUGCUCCGCAGAGGAAAGUCCGGACUCCUGCGGGCAGGGUGCCAGGUAACGCCUGGGCGGCGUGAGCCGACGGAAAGUGCAACAGAAACAUACCGCCUGUCUUCGGAUGGGUAAGGUUGAAAUGGUGCGGUAAGAGCGCACCGGCGGGCUGGCAACAGUCCGGCCGUGAAAACCCCACCCGGAGCAAGGCCAAAUAGGGGAGAAGGGCUGCCCGCCCCGUUCGUACUCCCGGGUUGGCUGCUAGAGCGCCGCAGCGAUGCGGCGUCGAGAGAAAUGGUCACACAGCCCUUCGGGGUGGACAGAAUCCGGCUUACAGGCCCGCUGAACCU